Molecule: ribosomal RNA, 442 nt
Filed under: uncultured bacterium
Lineage: Bacteria
Description: partial 16S ribosomal RNA
Rfam family: Bacterial small subunit ribosomal RNA
Source: RNAcentral
CCUACGGGUGGCAGCAGUGAGGAAUAUUGGUCAAUGGACGCAAGUCUGACCCAGCAACGCCGCGUGAAGGAAGAAUGCUUUCGGGUUGUAAACUUCUUUUAAGGGGGAAGAGCAGAAGACGGUACCCCUUGAAUAAGCCACGGCUAACUACGUGCCAGCAGCCGCGGUAAUACGGAGGAUCCGAGCGUUAUCCGGAUUUAUUGGGUUUAAAGGGUGCGUAGGCGGCCUGUUAAGGCAGCGGUGAAAGUCUGUGGCUCAACCAUAGAAUUGCCGUUGAAACUGGGGGGCUUGAGUAUGUUUGAGGCAGGCGGAAUUCGUGGUGUAGCGGUGAAAUGCUUAGAUAUCACGAAGAACCCCGAUUGCGAAGGCAGCCUGCCAAGCCAUGACUGACGCUGAUGCACGAAAGCGUGGGGAUCAAACAGGAUUAGAUACCCUUGUAGUC